GCAGUGAUGACAUCCCAUCUCGAGCACGCGUUAGACUGCUGAUGUGGGUGAUGAGCCAACCAUGGC
This is a small nucleolar RNA of Ochotona princeps (American pika), 66 nucleotides long. The record is from Ensembl. Lineage: Eukaryota; Metazoa; Chordata; Mammalia; Lagomorpha; Ochotonidae.